RNAcentral lists this ribosomal RNA (522 nucleotides) under uncultured Acidobacteriota bacterium. Its description in RNAcentral is "bacterial SSU rRNA". It matches the Rfam family "Bacterial small subunit ribosomal RNA", at positions 355 to 871 of the family's 1533-position model. Lineage: Bacteria; Pseudomonadati; Acidobacteriota. The record is from RNAcentral.
UGGGGAAUAUUGGACAAUGGGCGCAAGCCUGAUCCAGCAACGCCGCGUGGAGGACGAAGGUCUUCGGAUCGUAAACUCCUGUCAGGCGGGACGAAGGCUUCCGGGCAAAUAGUUCGGAAGCUUGACGGUACUGCCAGAGGAAGCCCCGGCUAACUCCGUGCCAGCAGCCGCGGUAAUACGGAGGGGGCUAGCGUUAUUCGGAAUUAUUGGGCGUAAAGGGCGCGUAGGCGGCCCGGUAAGUCAAAGGUGAAAUCCCUCGGCUCAACUGAGGAACUGCCUUUGAAACUGUCGGGCUUGAGGCCGGGAGGGGGUAGCGGAAUUCCCAGUGUAGCGGUGAAAUGCGUAGAUAUUGGGAGGAACACCGGUGCGAAGGCGGCUACCUGGACCGGUUCUGACGCUGAUGCGCGAAAGCGUGGGUAGCAAACAGGAUUAGAUACCCUGGUAGUCCACGCUGUAAACGAUGAGUGCUCGGUGUCGCGGGUAUCGACCCCUGCGGUGCCUUAGCUAACGCGUUAAGCACCG